UCUGGGAUAACCCCUGAGAAAUUGGGGACAAUACCGGAUAGGGCAUCGAUAGCUGGAAUGCGCGAUGUCCAAAAAGCUGAGGCGCCCAAGGAUAGGUCUGCGGCCGAUUAGGUUGUUGUUGAUGUAAUGGAUCAACAAGCCUGCAAUCGGUACGGGUUGUGAGAGCAAGAGCCCGGAGAUGGGUUCUGAGAAAAGAACCCAGGUCCUACGGGACGCAUCAGGCGCGAAAACUUUACAAUGUGCGAAAGCACGAUAAGGGAACUCUGAGUGCCUCCUAUGGAGGCUGUUCAGGUGUCUAAAAAGCACUUGAAGUAAGGGCUGGGUAAGACCGGUGCCAGCCGCCGCGGUAACACCGGCAGCCCAAGUGGUAGCCACGAUUAUUGGGUCUAAAGCGUCCGUAGCCGGCCAGGUAAGUUCUUUGGGAAAUUUAACCGCUCAACGGUUAAGCUUUCAGGGAAUACUGCUUGGCUUGGGACCGGGAGAGGUCAGAGGUACUUCAAGGGUAGGGGUGAAAUCCGUUAAUCCUUGAGGGACCACCAGUAGCGAAGGCGUCUGACCAGACCGGGUCCGACGGUGAGGGACGAAGGCUAGGGUCGCGAACCGGAUUAGAUACCCGGGUAGUCCUAGCUGUAAACGAUGCGGGCCAGGUGUUGGCAUUAAUGCGAGUGAUGUCAGUCCGAAGGGAAGCC
RNAcentral lists this ribosomal RNA (689 nucleotides) under uncultured euryarchaeote. Its description in RNAcentral is "bacterial SSU rRNA". It matches the Rfam family "Archaeal small subunit ribosomal RNA", at positions 120 to 813 of the family's 1478-position model. Lineage: Archaea; Methanobacteriati; Methanobacteriota. The record is from RNAcentral.